GAAGGUACAGCUCAGUGGUAGAGCACCUGCUUAGCAUGCAAGAGGUCCUAGGUUCUAUUCCCAGUACCUCCA
Molecule: transfer RNA, 72 nt
Organism: Camelus ferus (Wild Bactrian camel)
Lineage: Eukaryota; Metazoa; Chordata; Mammalia; Artiodactyla; Camelidae
Rfam family: tRNA
About the family: Transfer RNA (tRNA) molecules are approximately 80 nucleotides in length. Their secondary structure includes four short double-helical elements and three loops (D, anti-codon, and T loops). Further hydrogen bonds mediate the characteristic L-shaped molecular structure. tRNAs have two regions of fundamental functional importance: the anti-codon, which is responsible for specific mRNA codon recognition, and the 3' end, to which the tRNAs corresponding amino acid is attached (by aminoacyl-tRNA synthetases). tRNAs cope with the degeneracy of the genetic code in two manners: having more than one tRNA (with a specific anti-codon) for a particular amino acid; and 'wobble' base-pairing, i.e. permitting non-standard base-pairing at the 3rd anti-codon position.
Source: Rfam